GAUGAACGCUGGCGGCGUGCUUAACACAUGCAAGUCGAACGAAGCACUUACGACAGAUUCCUUCGGGAUGAAGAUGUUUGUGACUGAGUGGCGGACGGGUGAGUAACGCGUGGGAAACCUGCCCUACACAGGGGGAUAACAGUUGGAAACGGCUGCUAAUACCGCAUAAUGUAUUUGGGUGGCAUCACUUGGAUACCAAAGGAGCAAUCCGCUGAAAGAUGGGCUCAUAUCUGAUUAGCUGGUUGGCGGGGCAACGGCCCACCAAGGCGACGAUCAGUAGCCGGACUGAGAGGUUGAACGGCCACAUUGGGACUGAGAUACGGCCCAGACUCC
Molecule: ribosomal RNA, 333 nt
Filed under: uncultured Oscillospiraceae bacterium
Lineage: Bacteria; Bacillati; Bacillota; Clostridia; Eubacteriales; Oscillospiraceae
Description: bacterial SSU rRNA
Rfam family: Bacterial small subunit ribosomal RNA
Source: RNAcentral